This 460-nucleotide ribosomal RNA is filed under the name uncultured bacterium. RNAcentral's name for it is "partial 16S ribosomal RNA". It matches the Rfam family "Bacterial small subunit ribosomal RNA", at positions 338 to 795 of the family's 1533-position model. The record is from RNAcentral.
CCUACGGGCGGCAGCAGUGAGGAAUAUUGGUCAAUGGGCUCACGCCUGAACCAGCCAAGUCGCGUGAGGGAAGACUGCCCUAUGGGUUGUAAACCUCUUUUGUCAGGGAGCAACGCCGGCUACGUGUAGCCGGACUGAGAGUACCUGAAGAAAAAGCAUCGGCUAACUCCGUGCCAGCAGCCGCGGUAAUACGGAGGAUGCGAGCGUUAUCCGGAUUUAUUGGGUUUAAAGGGUGCGUAGGCGGAAUGCCAAGUCAGCGGUAAAAUCGAGAGGCUCAACCUCUUUCCGCCGUUGAAACUGUCGGUCUUGAGUGGGCGAGAAGUAUGCGGAAUGCGUGGUGUAGCGGUGAAAUGCAUAGAUAUCACGCAGAACUCCGAUUGCGAAGGCAGCAUACCGGCGCCCGACUGACGCUGAGGCACGAAAGCGUGGGUAUCGAACAGGAUUAGAUACCCGAGUAGUC